This 439-nucleotide ribosomal RNA is filed under the name uncultured bacterium. Its description in RNAcentral is "partial 16S ribosomal RNA". It matches the Rfam family "Bacterial small subunit ribosomal RNA", at positions 339 to 795 of the family's 1533-position model. The record is from RNAcentral.
CUACGGGUUGCUGCAGUGGGGAAUAUUGGACAAUGGGCGCAAGCCUGAUCCAGCAAUGCCGCGUGAGUGAAGACGGCCUUAGGGUUGUAAAACUCUUUCGCUAGGGAAGAUAAUGACUGUACCUAGUAAAGAAGUCCCGGCUGAACUCCGUGCCAGCAGCCGCGGUAAUACGGAGGGGACUAGCGUUGUUCGGAAUUACUGGGCGUAAAGAGUUCGUAGGCGGACUGACAAGUUAGAGGUGAAUCCCAGGGCUCAACCCUGGAACUGCCUUUAAAACUGUCAGUCUAGAGACCGGAAGAGGUUAGGGGAAUACCUAGUGUAGAGGUGAAAUUCGUAGAUAUUAGGUGGAACACCAGUGGCGAAGGCGCCUAACUGGUCCGGUACUGACGCUGAGGAACGAAAGCGUGGGGAGCAAACAGGAUUAGAUACCCGCGUAGUC